This 116-nucleotide ribosomal RNA is filed under the name Meriones unguiculatus (Mongolian gerbil). Lineage: Eukaryota; Metazoa; Chordata; Mammalia; Rodentia; Muridae. The record is from RNAcentral.
GAAAGGCAUACCACCCUGAAAGUGCCUGCUCUUGCCUAAUCUCCCUGGAGCUAAGCAGGGUCAGGCCUGGUUAGUACUUGGAUGGGAGACACAGAGAAGAUUAACACGUGCUUGCA